GAUGAACGCUGGCGGCGUGCUUAACACAUGCAAGUCGAACGGAAAGGCCGAAGCUUGCUUCGGUACUCGAGUGGCGAACGGGUGAGUAACACGUGGGUGAUCUGCCCUGUACUUCGGGAUAAGCUUGGGAAACUGGGUCUAAUACCGGAUAUGACGAUCUCUUGGAUGGGGUUGUGGAAAGCUUUUGCGGUAUGGGAUGAGCUCGCGGCCUAUCAGCUUGUUGGUGGGGUAAUGGCCUACCAAGGCGUCGACGGGUAGCCGGCCUGAGAGGGUGUACGGCAAUUGGGGGAGGGAGAGCGGGCCGAGACCCAGAGGGGGGGAGGAAGGGGGAAAUAGGGAAAAAGGGGCACAAGCUGGAGGCGGCGAGCGCGGGGGGGGGAUGCGGGCUGUGGGUGUGGAAACUCUUGACGAACUGGACAAAGCUUUUGGGUGAGGGUGGGUUAGAAAGAGGCCCCGGAAAACUACGUC
Molecule: ribosomal RNA, 468 nt
Filed under: uncultured bacterium
Lineage: Bacteria
Description: partial 16S ribosomal RNA
Rfam family: Bacterial small subunit ribosomal RNA
Source: RNAcentral